RNAcentral lists this ribosomal RNA (450 nucleotides) under uncultured bacterium. RNAcentral describes it as "partial 16S ribosomal RNA". It matches the Rfam family "Bacterial small subunit ribosomal RNA", at positions 354 to 796 of the family's 1533-position model. The record is from RNAcentral.
GUGGGGAAUAUUGGACAAUGGGCGAAAGCCUGAUCCAGCCAUGCCGCGUGUGUGAAGAAGGUCUUCGGAUUGUAAAGCACUUUAAGUUGGGAGGAAGGGCAGUAAGUUAAUACCUUGCUGUUUUGACGUUACCGACAGAAUAAGCACCGGCUAACUUCGUGCCAGCAGCCGCGGUAAUACGAAGGGUGCAAGCGUUAAUCGGAAUUACUGGGCGUAAAGCGCGCGUAAGUGGUUUUGUAAGUUGGAGGUGAAAUCCCCGGGCUCAACCUGGGAACUGCCUCCAAAACUGCAUGACUAGAGUACGGUAGAGGGUAGUGGAAUUUCCUGUGUAGCGGUGAAAUGCGUAGAUAUAGGAAGGAACACCAGUGGCGAAGGCGACUACCUGGACUGAUACUGACACUGAGGUGCGAAAGCGUGGGGAGCAAACAGGAUUAGAUACCCGUGUAGUCC